UUAAGAUAGUAAGGGCGUAUGGUGGAUGCCUAGGCACCGGAAGCCGAUGAAGGACGUGGCAAGCUGCGAUAAGCCACGGGGAGCCGCAAGCGGGCUGUGAUCCGUGGAUCUCCGAAUGGGGGAACCCGGCGGGGGUAAUGCCCCGUCACCCGCACCUGAACACAUAGGGUGCGAGGAGGGAACCCGGGGAACUGAUACAUCUUAGUACCCGGAGGAAAAGAAAGAAACUCUCGAUUCCCUGAGUAGUGGCGAGCGAAAGGGGAGGAGCCCAAACCGGGUGCGUGGAAGGCUGCGGCCGUUGCGCAUCCGGGGUUGUAGGGCCGGACGUGGCCGCUCCGCAGGGCGGCCGGGGAGUUACAAAUCGCGCGGGUAGCCGAACCGGGAUGGAUAAUCUCGGCCGUAGAGGGUGAUAGCCCCGUAGGCGAAACUCGUGCGACUCCCUGCUCCGGACCCUGAGUAGAUCCGGACACGUGAAACCCGGAUCGAAUCCGCGGGGACCACCCCGCAAGGCUAAAUACUAACGGUGACCGAUAGCGAACCAGUACCGUGAGGGAAAGGUGAAAAGUACCCCGCAAGGGGGGUGAAACAGUACCUGAAACCAUACGCCUACAAGCGGUCGGAGCGGCGACUUUGGUCGUCGUGACGGCGUACUUUUUGCAUAACGGGCCAGCGAGUUGCUCGUGCCUGGCGAGGUUAAGCUUGAGAGCGAGCCGAAGCGAAAGCGAGUCCGAACAGGGCGUCCAGUCAGGUGCGGCAGACCCGAAACCGGGCGAGCUAUCCAUGGCCAGGCUGAAGCGGGGGUAAGACCUCGUGGAGGGCCGAACCCACCAGGGUUGAAAACCUGGGGGAUGAGCUGUGGAUAGGAGUGAAAGGCUAAUCAAGCUCGGCGAUAUCUGGUUCUCCCCGAAAUAUAUUUAGGUAUAGCCCGGCGCGUUUCGUCGCGGGUGUAGAGCACUGUUUGGGCGCGGGGCCCUACAAGGUUACCAACCCCAGACAAACUCCGAAGACCGUUGACGUGAGAGCGCCGGAGUCAGGGGCCGGGGGAUAAACUCCGGUCCCGAGAGGGAAACAACCCAGACCGCCGGCUAAGGUCCCCAAAUGACGGCUAAGUGGCGAAAAGGAUGUGGCGCUGCACAGACAGCCAGGAGGUUGGCUUAGAAGCAGCCAUCCUUUAAAGAGUGCGUAAUAGCUCACUGGUCGAGUGGUGUUGCGCCGAAAAUUCAUCGGGCCUGCAAGCCGUCUACCGAAGCCGCGGACUUCAGCUUUGCUGGAGUGGUAGGGGAGCAUCCCGUUGCGGUCGAAGCGGCGCCGUGAGGCAGCCGUGGACGCCUCGGGAGAGAGAAUGCUGGCAUGAGUAACGAGAGACGGGCGAGAAACCCGUCCGCCGAAAGCCCAAGGGUUCCUGGGUAAAGCUAAUCUUCCCAGGGUCAGUCGGGACCUAAGCCGAGGGCGAAAGCCGUAGGCGAUGGGCAGCAGGUUGAUAUUCCUGCACCACGUGCGUGGCGUCUGAGCGAUGGAGGGACGGAGAAGGGUAGGCCAACCGGGGCGCUGGUAGACCCCGGGCUUGCCCGUAGGGCGGGGACCAGGAAAAUCCGGGCCCCAUACAAGCCUGAGGGGUGAGCCGAGCCCUUUAUUGGGCGAAGUGGCUGAACCCAUGCUCCCGGGAAAAGCUUCUAAGCGAGUCACGUGCGUGCCCGUACCCCAAACCGACACAGGUGGGCGAGUGGAGAACACUAAGGCGAUCGAGCGAACUGUGGCUAAGGAACUCGGCAAAUUGCCCCCGUAACUUCGGGAGAAGGGGGGCUCCUGCCGGUGAAGGCCCUCGCGGCCGGAGCUGGCGGGAGCCGCAGAGAAUAGGCCCAAGCGACUGUUUACCAAAAACACAGGUCUCUGCUAAGUCGAAAAGACGACGUAUAGGGGCUGACGCCUGCCCAAUGCCAGAACGUUAAGGAAGGGGGUUAGCCCUUUUAGGGCGAAGCUCCCGACCGAAGCGCUGGUCAAUGGCGGCCGUAACUAUAACGGUCCUAAGGUAGCGAAAUUCCUUGUCGGGUAAGUUCCGACCUGCACGAAAGGCGUAACGACUUGGGCGCUGUCUCGGCCACAGGCUCGGUGAAAUUGUAGUCUCGGUGAAGAUGCCGAGUACCCGCGGAAAGACGGAAAGACCCCGUGAACCUUUACUGUACCCUGGCAUUGGAUGCUGACACACCUUGUGCAGGAUAGGAGGGAGGCUGAGAAGCCGGGGCGCCAGCCUCGGUGGAGCCGUCCUUGAGAUACCUCCCUUGGUGUGUUGGUGUUCUAACCCGGCGCCGUGAUCCGGGUCGGGAACAGUGUCAGGCGGGCAGUUUGACUGGGGCGGUCGCCUCCUAAAAGGUAACGGAGGCGCCCAAAGGUCCCCUCAGCACGGUCGGAAAUCGUGCGCAGAGUGCAAACGCACAAGGGGGCUUGACUGCGAGACCGACAGGUCGAGCAGGGACGAAAGUCGGGGUUAGUGAUCCGGCGGUUACGCGUGGAAGUGCCGUCGCUCAACGGAUAAAAGGUACUCCGGGGAUAACAGGCUUAUCGCCGCCAAGAGUUCACAUCGACGCGGCGGUUUGGCACCUCGAUGUCGGCUCGUCGCAUCCUGGGGCCGGAGUAGGUCCCAAGGGUUGGGCUGUUCGCCCAUUAAAGCGGUACGCGAGCUGGGUUCAGAACGUCGUGAGACAGUUCGGUCCCUAUCUUCCGUGGGCGUUGGAGGCUUGAGGGGAGCGACUCCUAGUACGAGAGGACCGGAGUGGACGCACCUCUGGUGUACCGGUUGUCCUGCCAAGGGCACCGCCGGGUAGCCAUGUGCGGAAGGGAUAACCGCUGAAGGCAUCUAAGCGGGAAGCCCACCCCAAGACGAGGCCUCCCAUCCCCUUUGAGGGAGUAAGACCCCUGGUAGACCACCAGGUUGAUAGGCCGCAGGUGCAAGCGUCGUGAGGCGUUUAGCCGAGCGGUACUAAUCGGUCGAGGUCUUAA
RNAcentral lists this ribosomal RNA (2997 nucleotides) under Rubrobacter xylanophilus. RNAcentral describes it as "23S ribosomal RNA". It matches the Rfam family "Bacterial large subunit ribosomal RNA". The record is from RNAcentral. Lineage: Bacteria; Bacillati; Actinomycetota; Rubrobacteria; Rubrobacterales; Rubrobacteraceae.